This 503-nucleotide unclassified non-coding RNA is filed under the name Hevea brasiliensis (rubber tree). The record is from RNAcentral. Lineage: Eukaryota; Viridiplantae; Streptophyta; Magnoliopsida; Malpighiales; Euphorbiaceae.
UAUGGUUGCGCACGUGCGCUAUCAUCUAACAUUACUCACCCUGAACGCUCCAUGGACGGAGCAGCGCCGCCAGCCCGGCUACCACCAAAAACCACCAGGACCGUUUCGUUCACAGCCUCCGGCACCGUUGAAGAAUUUGUCAAGUAAAUGGGUGUUUGAAUGUUCAGCCUUAAGCAAACAGGGGCAGCGAUUCUUUUCUUCUCUGGCCACCGCCACCGCCACUGCCGCUGGAGAUACCUCAGCCACCAACCGUUUGAUCAAGAAAUUUGUGGCAGCAUCACCUAAAUCCGUUGCUCUCGAUGCACUCUCCAAUCUCCUUUCUCCUCACUCGUCUUAUCCUCACCUCUCGGCUUUUGCAUUCCCCCUUUACUUGAAGAUCACAGAAGCACGGUGGUUUGAGUGGAACCCAAAGCUAGUUGCCAAUCUUGCUGCGUUGCUUGAUAAACAAGGCCAGUACAAAGAGUUAGCAACUCUAAUAUCUGAUUCAACUUCUAAAUUACAGC